GAGUUUGAUCGUGGCUCAGAUUGAACGCUGGCGGCAGGCCUAACACAUGCAAGUCGAGCGGUAGAGAGAAGCUUGCUUCUCUUGAGAGCGGCGGACGGGUGAGUAAUGCCUAGGAAUCUGCCUGGUAGUGGGGGAUAAUGCUCGGAAACGGACGCUAAUACCGCAUACGUCCUACGGGAGAAAGCAAGGGACCUUCGGGCCUUGCGCUAUCAGAUGAGCCUAGGUCGGAUUAGCUAGUUGGUGAGGUAAUGGCUCACCAAGGCGACGAUCCGUAACUGGUCUGAGAGGAUGAUCAGUCACACUGGAACUGAGACACGGUCCAGACUCCUACGGGAGGGCAGCAGUGGGGAAUAUUGGACAAUGGGCGAAAGCCUGAUCCAGCCAUGCCGCGUGUGUGAAGAAGGUCUUCGGAUUGUAAAGCACUUUAAGUUGGAGGAAGGGCAGUAAAUUAAUAACUUUGCUGUUUUGACGUUACCGACAGAAUAAGCACCGGCUAACUCUAGUGCCAGACG
This 512-nucleotide ribosomal RNA is filed under the name uncultured bacterium. RNAcentral describes it as "bacterial SSU rRNA". It matches the Rfam family "Bacterial small subunit ribosomal RNA", at positions 9 to 514 of the family's 1533-position model. The record is from RNAcentral.